This 469-nucleotide ribosomal RNA is filed under the name uncultured bacterium. RNAcentral describes it as "bacterial SSU rRNA". It matches the Rfam family "Bacterial small subunit ribosomal RNA", at positions 335 to 797 of the family's 1533-position model. The record is from RNAcentral.
ACUCCUACGGGAGGCAGCAGUGGGGAAUAUUGGACAAUGGGCGAAAGUCUGACGGAGCAAUGCCGCGUGAGUGAUGAAGGUUUUCGAAUCGUAAAGCUCUGUUGUAAGGGAAGAAUAGCAAGAAUAGGAAAUGAUUCUUGUCUGACGGUACCUUACCAGAAAGCCACGGCUAACUACGUGCCAGCAGCCGCGGUAAUACGUAGGUGGCAAGCGUUAUCCGGAAUUAUUGGGCGUAAAGCGCAUGUAGGCGGCUUUUUAAGUCUGAUGUGAAAGCCAGUGGCUCAACCACUGAAUUGCAUUGGAUACUGGAAAGCUAGAAUCUUGGAGAGGUAAGUGGAAUUUCAUGUGUAGCGGUGGAAUGCGUAGAUAUAUGAAGGAACACCAAUGGCGAAGGCAGCUUACUGGACAAGUAUUGACGCUGAGAUGCGAAAGUGUGGUAGCAAACAGGAUUAGAUACCCUGGUAGGUGA